GUAUGAUUUGGACCAGUUUGUAAGCAGAUGGGUUUUGUUUGUUUAUUCUAAGUAUUUGUUUAAGGGCCAUUUAUUUUCUUUUUUUCUGGAACUCAAACUGACUUGGGAUCUUGAGUCCCCCUUUCCUGGCCUUCUGAGUGCUGCUGGGAUUACAGCCCUUCUUCCUUCAGUUUGUUUAUGUGAUGUUUACACUGACUGGUUUUCCUAUGUUGAACCAUCCCUCCCUCCAUCUCGAGGAUGAGGGCUUCUUGUCAUGGUGAUGAUCGUUUUGAUGUGUUCUUGAAUUCAGCUUGUGAGUAUUUUAUUAUUUAUUGCAUCCCUGUUCAUAAGGGAACUUGGUUAUUUUUCUCUCCAUCUUUUUUUUUUUUUUUUUUUUUUUGGUUGUUGAAUCCUUGUGUAGUUUGGGUAUUGGUGUGAUUGUGGCCUCGUAAAAUUUGUUUGGCUAUAUUCCUUCUGUUUCUAUUUUGUGGAAUUAAUUUGAGGAGUAUUGGUGUUAGCCCUUCCUUGAAAGUCUGAUAGAAUUAUUUGCUGAAAUCUUCUGGCCCUGAGAUUUUUUUGGCUAGAAGACUUUUAAUGACUGCUUCUAUUUCCUUAGGGGUUAUAGAUUAUUUAAGUUGCUUAUCUGAUCUUGAUUUAACUUUUUAAGUGAUAUCUAUCAAAAUUAUCCAUUUUAGAUUUUCCAGUUUUAUGUAAUAUAGAUUUUUAAAGUAUAACCCAAUGACUCUUUGAAUUUCCUUGGUGUCAGUUGGUAUGUUGUGUUUUCAUUUUCAUUGAAUUCUAGAAAGUCUUUAAUUUCUUUAUUUCUGUCUUAUCCAGUAGUUAAUCAAUAUAGAGUUGUUUAGUUUCUAUGAGUUUAUAGAUGUUGUUGUUGUUGAAAUCCAGUUUUAUUCUGUAGUAGUCUGAUAGGAUGCAGAGUUAUUUAAGUUUUUUUUUGUAUCUGUUCAGUCUUGCUUUGUUCCAUGGGGUGCUGAGAAGAAGGUAUUCUUUCGUGUUUGGGUGAAAUGUUCUUUAGAUAUGCUAGGUCCAUUUAACUUAUAACAACUUUAGCUUCAGUAUUUAUCUGUUUAGUUUUUGUCUGGGCAAUCUGUCUUUUGGUUGGGAGUGGGAUAUUGAAGUCUCCCACUCUCAGUGUGUGAGAAUCAGUGUGUGUUUUAAGCUUUCUUGUUUCUUUUACAAACCUGGGUGCUCUUUGCAUUGGGAGCAUGGUAAGAAUUGAAACAUCAUCAUGGUGGAUUUUUCCUUUGAUGAGUAUGAAGCUUCUUUCCCCAUCUCUUGAUUCAUUUUGGUGAAGCAAUGUCAAUCUUUGAUGUUGAGGUGUGUUUCUUGUAUGCACCAGCAAGAUGAAUCCUGUUUUCCCAUUCAUUCUGUUAGUCUGUGUCUUUUUUUAUUGGGGAAUUGAAACCAUUGGUAUUAAGAGAUAUGAGUGACCAAUGAUAGUUAAUUCAGUUAUUUUAGUGAUGGGAGUGGUGGAUAUAUGUGUGUGUUUCCCUGCUCUUAGUUUUGCUGGUGUGAAAGUAUUGAUUUCCUGUGUUCUCAUGGGUGUGGUUAACUACUUGGAUUGAAGUUUUUCUUCUCCCUUCUGUAGGACUGGAUUUAUAGAUGCAUAUUGUUUAAAUUUUACUUUAUCAUAGAAUACUUUUUAAAAAACAUUUUAUUCAUUCAUUUUGAGUUUCACACCAUGUACCCCAGUCCUGCUCAUCUACCUGUCCCCUCAUAUCCCCCCUUUGCCCUUGCGUUGCCCCUCCCAAAUAAAACAAGCC
This 1760-nucleotide long non-coding RNA is filed under the name Mus musculus (house mouse). RNAcentral describes it as "long non-coding RNA chr16:31744021-31745781". Lineage: Eukaryota; Metazoa; Chordata; Mammalia; Rodentia; Muridae. The record is from RNAcentral.